Rosa rugosa (rugosa rose) is the source of this 896-nucleotide long non-coding RNA. RefSeq lists it as uncharacterized. Lineage: Eukaryota; Viridiplantae; Streptophyta; Magnoliopsida; Rosales; Rosaceae. The transcript has 3 exons. The record is from RefSeq and is a predicted model, not a curated record.
ACCCUAGCCUCAUUUCUCUCCCUCUCCCUUCUCUCGGCCGCGUCUCUCUCCCCGACCUCUCACACUUUCUCUCUCUUCUUCCCUCUGCAAACGCCGGAAACCCAAUCUCCGGCCACCACCUUUUGACACAGCCUCCACCCUUCGAACUAGCUCCUAUAUCGACCAAAACCCGAGCCCAGCACCGCCAUGCAUCGUCUCCAGCCAUGUAAUCAGCGCCUCACUACCCACCUGUUUCUGAGACGCCGAUCUCCGAUUCCGACCAGGGCCACCGCACGCGCUACACGCGCCGCCGCUGGUGUGUAGACCGCCAUAGCUCCUCCAGGUAUACCGCCGAUUUAAUCCCUUGUCCUGGGCUUGAGGAAAUAAUGGAAUUCAGACCGGAGAGUGAAGCUUCUGGUCUUGGCUUUGAUUUGUGUUCUUGAUGGGAGGAUGAAGAACUGAGAAAGACUGCAAGAAGCAGCACUUUGCGGAGAUUAUGGUCUCGGCAGAACUGAAAAUGGGUAAGGAAUGCAGGCCUUUGAGUUAUGAGUUUGAUUGUUGUUUGGACGUUGGGAUUAAUUAACUAAGUUGUUGUUCUGCUUUGAGAGAUUUUGGAAAUCCUGAGCUUUGGAAUUUGGGAGUUCGAAGAUUUGGAGAAGGGGAAAUAUUGGGUCACCCCACUGAAAAUGGAUUGAGGAAUUCGAGUGAUAGUUGGUCAAGGAGCAGUCGAGCCGGAGCAGCAAAAGUUGGAUUCGCCUUUGUUUGAAAAGAGAAGAAAUGGUAAGGUGAUGGUCUCUGCCACGCUAUGGACUUGUAUAUGUGGUGAUUGUAUUAUAGGAUUCUAGUGGUUUGUUACGGAAUGGAAUGAGAUUUGAUAUGUUGCUUGACGAGUAUGAAUUAAUUGAAUAUUUAUAGAA